This 2505-nucleotide ribosomal RNA is filed under the name Triticum aestivum (bread wheat). RNAcentral's name for it is "partial small subunit ribosomal RNA". The record is from RNAcentral. Lineage: Eukaryota; Viridiplantae; Streptophyta; Magnoliopsida; Poales; Poaceae.
AUGUCUGCAUUUAGAAAACAUGAAUCUGGUUACAAAAAGCGUUUGAAGAAACAAAAAAAGGAUUUAACUCUGUCUCAAAAAGGAGAUAUGGAUAAUUUUGUCAUAGGAAUACCACAAGUGUCCUCCGAUAAUCAGUCACUUGAUAGAGAGCAUGCUCCGGAUAAUAAUGUUGACAAUGAUCCUAGCCCUAGAGAUGCCGAGACAUAGAUAGAAAAUAAUGUUGAGAGUGAAGAAAAUUGUGAUGACAUUGGGGCUAGUAAUACUGAUGCAGACGUUGAUGAUUCUUUUUAGUUUGAUAUAUUUGAUCCAAGAAAUUGGGAUUCCCUUAAUUCUAAGCAAAUUGAUAUUUUAGCACAAAAGGGCCCUCAAAGGGACAUGUCAUUUAAGAAAGGUCGUAAGGAUAAAUAUAAAAGGAGGUUUUCUGCACUAUUCUACACUAGAAUUCUAUUGAAUGGAGAGCAUUGCGAUAGGGAUUGGCUUGUCUAUUAUGAGGAACUCGAUAAAGUGUUUUGCUUCGGUUGUAAAUUAUUCGCAAAAGGGUAUCGAAAAGGUAAUUUGGCAAAUGAGGGGUAUAAUGAUUGGACACAUCUUGGCACUAGACUUAAAGAGCAUGAGACAAGUGCAGAUCAUGUUUUGAAUAUGACAACUUGGUAUGAGUUGCGUACUAGAUUACAAAAGCAUGAAACAAUUGAUAAAGCUGCUCAACGACAACUUGAGAGUGAAAAGGAGCACUGGAGAAAAGUUCUGUCCAGAAUCGUUUGCAUUGUAAAAUUCCUUGCCAGGCAUAAUCUAGCCUUUCGUGGUACUAACAGAAAAUUGUAUGAAGAUAGCAAUGGCAAUUUGGGUUUGGUUGAGAUGUUGGCUGAAUUUGACCCGGUUAUUCAAGAGCAUGUCCGUUGUAUUACAAAUGAAGAAACUCAUACUCAUUAUCUUGAUUUUAAGAUUCAGAAUGAGUUGAUACACCUACUUGCUUCUGCUAUUAGGUAUGAGAUUGUUAAGAAAAUAAAGGCAAAGUACUUCUCUGUCAUACUUGAUUGUACCCCAGAUGCAAGCCAUCAAGUUCAAAUGUCUAUAAUCAUAAGAUAUGUUGAUUCAUCUUCUAGUCAUGUUUGCAUAGAAGAAUCCUUUCUAGGAUUUUUAGAUGUGAAUGAUACGACUGGGCAAUGGCUUUUUGAAGUGCUAGAGAAUGAACUAAAGCUUCUUGAUCUUGAUAUAGAUGAUGUGAGAGGACAAGGUUAUGAUAACGGGUCAAAUAUGAAAGGAAACCAGCAAGGUGUCCAAAGGAGACUUUUGAAUGUAAAUCCUAGAGCAUUCUAUUCUGCUUGUGGUUGUCAUAGCCUUAAUUUGACACUUUGUGAUAUGGCUAAGACUUGCGGUAAAGCUAAAGACUUCUUUGGAAUCAUCCAACGCAUAUAUACGACUUUUGCUAAUUCUACUAAGAAAUGGCAGAUUCUGAAAAAUAACAUAACAGGACUAACUCCCAAGUCAGUGUCAGCUACACGCUGGGAGAGUCGUGUUGACAGUGUUAAAGCUAUUCGACUUCAAUGUGCAGACAUUCGGGAGGCCCUACUUCAGGUAUCUGAGACUGAUAAUGAUACAAAAACGAGCAGUGAGGCUAAAGGUUUGGCAAAUAAUGAACUUGGAGAGUAUGUAUUUAUAGUGGCGAUAGUCAUUUGGUAUGAGGUAUUGUAUGCUGUUAAUUUAGUAAGCAAACACUUGCAAGCAAAGGAUAUGCUUAUUGGUGUUGCUAUUGAGAAAGUGCAAGGAUUGCUUUCUUUCUUCAAGGGUUAUAGGGACACUGGUUUUUUAGAAGCAUUGGAGAUAGCCAAAGUAAUUGCACUUGAGAUGGAUAUUGGUACAACAUUUCAUAAAAGACGAGAAAUUAAAAGAAAGAGACAUUUUGAUGAGAACCCAGAUGAUGCAAACGUUGCCACACAGUCUGCAGAGGAAUCAUUCAGAGUCAACUAUUUUUUACGUAUUGUUGAUCAAGCAAUUCUCUCACUUACAAGCAGAUUUGACCAAUAUCAUGGUUACCAGAAAAUAUUUGGUUUCUUGUUUACCUCUGAAACAUUGCAAUCAUUGGAUAAGAAUAGCUUGAAAACUUCUUGUGACAAUCUUGAGGUUGCUCUUGAAAAGGAUGGGAAGUCUGACAUUGAUGCUAAUGAACUUUAUGUGGAGUUGAUGUUUCUUCAAAAUUUCAUGCCAAAGGAAAAUAUUGGGCCAGUUGAAAUUCUAAAGUUUUUGAAGCGGCAUGAUUGUUUCCCCAAUGCAUGUAUUGCAUAUAGAGUUCUGUUGACUAUCCCUGUGACUGUUACUUCGGCAGAACGGAGCUUUUCUAAAUUGAAGCUAUUGAAGUCCUAUAUGCACACUACCAUGACACAACAAAGGCUCACUGAUUUGGCCACAAUAGCACUGGAGAGUAAUCUAUUGGACAAGAUUGAUUAUGAGGAUAUUAUAGAGGAUUUUAUUACAAAGAACACUAAAAGAAUGAUGUUGUUUAAGUGA